Molecule: ribosomal RNA, 253 nt
Filed under: uncultured bacterium
Lineage: Bacteria
Description: partial 16S ribosomal RNA
Rfam family: Bacterial small subunit ribosomal RNA
Source: RNAcentral
UACGUAGGGGGCAAGCGUUAUCCGGAUUUACUGGGUGUAAAGGGAGCGUAGACGGCAGAGCAAGUCUGAAGUGAAAGCCCGCGGCCCAACUGCGGGACUGCUUUGGAAACUGCCCGGCUAGAGUGCUGGAGAGGUAAGCGGAAUUCCAUGUGUAGCGGUGAAAUGCGUAGAUAUAUGGAGGAACACCAGUGGCGAAAGCGGCUCUCUGGCCUGUAACUGACACUGAGGCUCGAAAGCGUGGGGAGCAAACAGG